Molecule: ribosomal RNA, 252 nt
Filed under: uncultured bacterium
Lineage: Bacteria
Description: partial 16S ribosomal RNA
Rfam family: Bacterial small subunit ribosomal RNA
Source: RNAcentral
UACGUAGGUGGCAAGCGUUGUCCGGAAUUAUUGGGUGUAAAGCGCGCGCAGGCGGUUAUGUAAGUCUGAUGGUAAAGCCCGGGGCUCAACCUCGGUUCGCAUUGGAAACUGCGUAACUUGAGUGCAGAAGAGGAAAGUGGUAUUCCACGUGUAGCGGUGAAAUGCGUAGAUAUGUGGAGGAACACCAGUGGCGAAGGCGACUUUCUGGUCUGUAACUGACGCUGAGGCGCGAAAGCGUGGGGAGCAAACAGG